Long non-coding RNA from Tetranychus urticae (two-spotted spider mite), 1662 nucleotides. RefSeq lists it as uncharacterized. NCBI's taxonomy places the organism in Eukaryota, Metazoa, Arthropoda, Arachnida, Trombidiformes, Tetranychidae. The record is from RefSeq and is a predicted model, not a curated record.
UCCAAAAAUUGUUUUGGAUUUUUAUUGUGACUUUAAUUUUAAUAAGUUUAUUUCGUUAAUUAACUCUUUUUUCAACAAUAUUAAUACAAAUCAAUGCUGUGUAUCUAGAAGUUAAAAUCACCGGCUAAAUGGAUGAGUAAAAUUUUAAUCAAAAAAAACAAAUUGCUGUUUUUUUACUUAAAAAAGCAAGGUGCAAGUUAGGAUAAGAUGCAAUUUUAUUACCAAGUAACAAAAUAAUUCAUUUACACUUUACGGAGUAUAAAUUAACCAGCAUGGUUUUUUAAUCUUAAUAAUAAGCCCUUUGUUAACAGGUUUAAUGUUAUUACAUGUAAGAUGAAAAGUGAAAGGAGCCAACGAAAAAAAACAAAACUGGUUACUUUGGGUAAAGCGAAACUAAAAAAGCUGAUGAAAACCUAGAAGACCAACCCAUGUUAAAGACUAGCCAGGCUUUUGAUUAGCUUGGAAUUACUGGUUCAAUGUACCUUUUAGAUGAAGCAGCGAUGGAGAAUCAAACAAAAGUGGAAAUCAAAUUGUAUUGAACAAGCAAGAUAACAAGAACCAAACCCAUUUCUUGCUUUCACUUGUGGUUGAUAAUUGAUGGACAAUCAAUGUUACGUUCAAAUCAAUCCACCUUGGCAAUGGAACCAUUGAUUGGCAUAAGCAACAAUGACUCAAAUUAUCAUUUAAAUCAGUCUCUUUACUUUUAAUCACGACAUUCCAGUCUGAUGAUUUAAUAGCUGGAUUACGCCGGAACAUGUGAAACUUUCAUUGCUUUCAUUUGGAUUGAGAAAUUUUCUGAAGCCAUUAAACGUGGACUUGUGUGGGCAUUCAUUAGUCACUGCCACAGCCAGUAUAAAUGUACAAUUAAUGGAGCUUUAAUAAGGAUUACACUUCUGAUUAUCACAUUUAUCCCGGUAUCAUCUCGACAUCAGAUUAUGGUAUAACACCAUUGAGUCAAAUUGCCAAUUCCAUUGGAAGCUAUCUUAUCGAGGAAAGAUUUAAGUGAUUUUUGAUGGGAUAAUGUGGACAAGCUUUUCACUCAGCCAGGUUCAUAGGAUUUUUGGCGUUGUUGAUUCAGCAAACAUGGAAUGAUGAUGAUAAUAAUCAAAAUUCCUGUGAAUCUAUAGUCAAGGCCAGACUGAAUGUACAUUUGAAUUUUUAAAAUAUAAAUCAACAAAAAGUCGAGUCAACAAGAAGUAUAAUAUAACGUACAUUUUAACACACACACAGAAAGCAAAGUAAACCCAAAGCUAAAUAUGUUUCACUGUUUCAACAUAUUGAUACAAAGCUAGGAUACCAAACCUAACAAACCAUAGUUAAUCCUGGGGUUAAAUGUUUCCAAAAUAAUCAGACGGAAUGACCUGGAAUCGCGUGAAGCCGUUAGAUGUAUUAGUUUAUUACAAUAAUUUAAAUUGGUUUAAUGUCAAAUCAGGAAUUAGCUGUUAGCUUGAUAAAUGGUCUUGACUUUUGAAAAGGUUUACUUUCCUCUCUUUCCAGCUCUUCUUCAUCUUGAUCUUCUUCUUCUUCUUCUGGCUCUUCCUUCUUUCAAUGACCUGACUUUCCAAAGGUCGUAGGUUAUUUCUGGGCCAUGUUUACAGUUUGGGAAGACAAAAAUUUGGCUAAAAAUUUUACAUUGGAGAAAGAAAAACAACUCUAAAAAAA